AUGCUUGGCAUUGACGUGAAACAUAGGUGGAACACAACAUACCUCAUGUUGCGUCAACCGAAAGGGUAUGAGGAAAUAAUUUCUGUUUUCAUCAAUUCAUUGCACUUUAGAAACAAUGAUAUUGAUAAGGAUGGUGAUGGUGAGAUUUUGCUUCUUACUGAGGAAGAAUGGAACAUAGCAACACGUCUGCGUAUAUUCCUAAAGCCUUUUUAUAAAGCUACAGUCCUACUAUCUAGAAUUUACUAUCGUACUUCUUGUAAGGUGCUUGAAUGUCUUUGGAAAUUGUCCCUUGUGUUUCAAAAAAACCGACAUGAUAGAGUUUUAGCUUCUGUUGUUCAACCCAUGGAAGAAAAAUUUCUCAAAUUCUUCACUGCUAUUCCACACCUUUAUUAUUUUGCUUUGAUACUUGAUCACCUUGGAGGUUGUGGAGACUGCUUUCUAUCAAUAGGUGAUGCAAUGAGUCUUGAUUAUUUUGAAGCUUAUCAACAUGCUAAAGAUGAGUUGUUCAAGGUUUUCCGUCUGUACCAAACUAAGCUAAGUGUUGCUCGUCAGGUGCCUGAGGAAACCCCACAAAAAAAGCAAAGCAAAUCAAGUGCAAUGAAUAUGUGGAAGAAGAUCAGGGGCAAGAAACAAGCCUCCUCAUCAGGUAGUAGGUCAAAUUGGAAUCCAGAUGCAGAGCUUAACCAUUACCUCAACACCAAUCACACAAAACAUGAUCGAACAUUGGAUGGUGAAAAUUUCGAUCUCCUUGAGCGGUGGAAAGAGAAAGAACGAACUCUUCAUGUGCUAGCUCACUUUGCACAGGGCGUUCUAUUGGUUCCGGUUUCCUCUAUCUCUUCGGAGCAUGCAUUUAGCGAGGUUGGAAGAAUUAUUGAAGAACAGAGGUCAUGCCUUGCACCUGACACAGUUGAGGCAAUAUUUUGCCUUAAAGACUGGAUUAAAGCAUAUUAUGCAAGGACACAAUACCGGUUAGAGGAUCCAAAGAUUACUGAUGCAGCGGCAGACGCAUUGAUGGAAUUUGGCAUCACCACUUAUGGCAGCGGUGCCAAUCGAAAUUAAUAAUGCAAUU
This 1069-nucleotide long non-coding RNA is filed under the name Oryza sativa Indica Group (long-grained rice). RNAcentral describes it as "lncRNA OsZS97_05G013220". Lineage: Eukaryota; Viridiplantae; Streptophyta; Magnoliopsida; Poales; Poaceae. The record is from RNAcentral.